UGGGUAGUCCGUACGAGCGCACCUUGUCCCUAGUUGCCAGCACUUCGGGUGGGAACUCUAGGGAGACUGCCGGUGAUAAACCGGAGGAAGGUGGGGAUGACGUCAAGUCAUCAUGGCCUUUAUGGGCAGGGCUACACACGUGCUACAAUGGCCGAUACAAAGGGCAGCAAAGCCGCGAGGUGGAGCGAAUCUCAGAAAAUCGGUCGUAGUCCGGAUUGCAGUCUGCAACUCGACUGCAUGAAGCCGGAAUCGCUAGUAAUCGCGGAUCAGAACGCCGCGGUGAAUACGUUCCCGGGCCUUGUACACACCGCCCGUCACACCAUGGGAGUGGGCUGUACCAGAAGUAGGUAGUCUAACCUUCGGGAGGACGCUUACCACGGUGUGGUUCAUGACUGGGGUGAAGUCGUAACAAGGUAGCCCUAGGGGAACCUGGGGCUGGAUCACCUCCUUU
This 451-nucleotide ribosomal RNA is filed under the name uncultured Chromatiales bacterium. RNAcentral describes it as "bacterial SSU rRNA". It matches the Rfam family "Bacterial small subunit ribosomal RNA", at positions 1077 to 1533 of the family's 1533-position model. Lineage: Bacteria; Pseudomonadati; Pseudomonadota; Gammaproteobacteria; Chromatiales. The record is from RNAcentral.